Molecule: ribosomal RNA, 497 nt
Filed under: uncultured bacterium
Lineage: Bacteria
Description: partial 16S ribosomal RNA
Rfam family: Bacterial small subunit ribosomal RNA
Source: RNAcentral
GAUGAACGCUGGCGGCGUGCCUAAUAUAUGCAAGUCGAGCGAACAGACGAGGAGCUUGCUCCUCUGACGUUAGCGGCGGACGGGUGAGUAACACGUGGAUAACCUACCUAUAAGACUGGGAUAACUUCGGGAAACCGGAGCUAAUACCGGAUAAUAUAUUGAACCGCAUGGUUCAAUAGUGAACGACGGUUUUGCUGUCACUUAUAGAUAGAUCCGCGCCGCAUUAGCUAGUUGGUAAGGUAACGGCCUACCAAGGCAACGAUGCGUAGCCGACCUGAGAGGGUGAUCGGCCACACUGGAACUGAGACACGGUCCAGACUCCUACGGGAGGCAGCAGUAGGGAAUCUUCCGCAAUGGGCGAAAGCCUGACGGAGCAACGCCGCGUGAGUGAUGAAGGUCUUCGGAUCGUAAAACUCUGUUAUUAGGGAAGAACAAAUGUGUAAGUAACUAUGCCCGUCUUGACGGUACCUAAUCAGAAAGCAACGGCUAACUACGUG